GUAAGGGAGUUCUUCUCCCUAUUCAUUAUAGCAGUAAAUAUGCAGAUUACAUAUACCUAUAAUUAACUCGUACAAAACUUUCUUCUCUCCAUAAACAAAGCAUAUCUAAGACUCCUAAAAUUGACAGGAAUUAUGCACUUAGUAGAGCCAAUUUGCACAAACAAACACCAAACCUCCCCAUGUCUUUUAAAUGGGCCACAUGGCAACUGAAAAUCACCUCGUUUCUUCUAUUUAAUCAACUAAACUUUUACCUAAAAAUAAAAUUUCCCCAAAGGAAGGAAAAGAAUUCGUUUAACUUCUAGAGCAGAGCAAAGAACCCAAAUUACCAUGAAGUAUGAACAGGAAAAACAAAAACCAAACCCGUAUCACAUUCAAGAGUCG
This 381-nucleotide unclassified non-coding RNA is filed under the name Hevea brasiliensis (rubber tree). Lineage: Eukaryota; Viridiplantae; Streptophyta; Magnoliopsida; Malpighiales; Euphorbiaceae. The record is from RNAcentral.